AAGCCAGCCAAUUGGUCUGCUUAUGUGAAUGUGUUUCUGCAGAAAUGUAGAGAGAGCUGGCAAUGGUGAUGCCGUGUUAUGAGCCUUAAGGACAGUUGAGGUCGCUAAGGUCCCUGAAAAUGGCUACAAUA
RNAcentral lists this small nucleolar RNA (131 nucleotides) under Jaculus jaculus (lesser Egyptian jerboa). RNAcentral describes it as "Small nucleolar RNA SNORA33 (ENSJJAG00000006472.1)". It matches the Rfam family "Small nucleolar RNA SNORA33". From Rfam's summary of the family: ACA33 is a member of the H/ACA class of snoRNA that guide the sites of modification of uridines to pseudouridines. The record is from Rfam by way of RNAcentral. Lineage: Eukaryota; Metazoa; Chordata; Mammalia; Rodentia; Dipodidae.